Molecule: ribosomal RNA, 441 nt
Filed under: uncultured bacterium
Lineage: Bacteria
Description: bacterial SSU rRNA
Rfam family: Bacterial small subunit ribosomal RNA
Source: RNAcentral
GGGACUGAGAACCCGCCCAGACUCCUACCGGAGGCAACAGUGGGGAAUAUUGGACAAUGGGCGCAAGCCUGAUCCCGCCAUGCCGCGUGAAUGAUGAAGGCCUUAAGGUUGUAAAGCUCUUUUGUCCGGGACGAUAAUGACGGUACCGGAAGAAUAAGCCCCGGCUAACUUCGUGCCAGCAGCCGCGGUAAUACGAAGGGGGCUAGCGUUGCUCGGAAUCACUGGGCGUAAAGGGCGCGUAGGCGGCCAUUCAAGUCGGGGGUGAAAGCCUGUGGCUCAACCACAGAAUUGCCUUCGAUACUGUUUGGCUUGAGUUUGGUAGAGGUUGGUGGAACUGCGAGUGUAAAGGUGAAAUUCGUAAAUAUUCCCAAGAACACCAGUGGCGAAGGCGGCCAACUGGACCAAUACUGACGCUGAGGGCGCGAAAGCGUGGGGAGCAAA